Molecule: long non-coding RNA, 371 nt
Filed under: Heterocephalus glaber (naked mole-rat)
Lineage: Eukaryota; Metazoa; Chordata; Mammalia; Rodentia; Bathyergidae
Description: lncRNA (ENSHGLG00100051253.1)
Source: RNAcentral
GCAUCACAGAGACCGGCCCGCUAGCUGAGAGACGCCAGCCAAGGAACAGCGAAGAAGCCCUUGGGUUGUCCGUGUGAGACUGUGGUUCUUUGGAUCACCCCAACUGGCCCUUCAGCUCCAGGUGACCACCCUGGCCGGGUGCCUCAAGGUCUGUAUCUGGGAAGCCCGAGGACAGCGGAGCCAGGGACCAGGCCCUCCCUAUUCAUGUGGUCUGAAUAAGAUAACUCCUGAAGCCCGAGCAAGGAAUCCUGUGGCUUGGAAUGAAGUAGUCUUAGGAAGAUGAAGUUGUUGGCAUAGUAAAUGGUGCCAAAUGUGUCCUUUAAGUAUAUUUUAUAAGAGCUCCAUUGUCAGUGGCACUAAAGUAACCAUGG